RNAcentral lists this transfer RNA (85 nucleotides) under Malaciobacter molluscorum LMG 25693. RNAcentral's name for it is "Arcobacter molluscorum LMG 25693 tRNA-Leu". It matches the Rfam family "tRNA". From Rfam's summary of the family: Transfer RNA (tRNA) molecules are approximately 80 nucleotides in length. Their secondary structure includes four short double-helical elements and three loops (D, anti-codon, and T loops). Further hydrogen bonds mediate the characteristic L-shaped molecular structure. tRNAs have two regions of fundamental functional importance: the anti-codon, which is responsible for specific mRNA codon recognition, and the 3' end, to which the tRNAs corresponding amino acid is attached (by aminoacyl-tRNA synthetases). tRNAs cope with the degeneracy of the genetic code in two manners: having more than one tRNA (with a specific anti-codon) for a particular amino acid; and 'wobble' base-pairing, i.e. permitting non-standard base-pairing at the 3rd anti-codon position. The record is from RNAcentral. RNAcentral also lists the same sequence under 2 other names. Lineage: Bacteria; Pseudomonadati; Campylobacterota; Epsilonproteobacteria; Campylobacterales; Arcobacteraceae.
GCCACCAUGGUGAAACUGGUAGACACGCUAGAUUCAAAAUCUGGUAUCUUCGGAUGUGUCGGUUCGAGUCCGACUGGUGGUACCA